Molecule: ribosomal RNA, 390 nt
Filed under: uncultured bacterium
Lineage: Bacteria
Description: bacterial SSU rRNA
Rfam family: Bacterial small subunit ribosomal RNA
Source: RNAcentral
AAUCAACGCCGGCGGCGUGCCUCAGACAUGCAAGUCGAACGCGAAAGUCCCCUUCGGGGGACGAAGUAGAGUGGCGCACGGGUGAGUAACACGUAGGUAAUCUACCUUCGGAUGGGGAAGUAACAACCGGAAACGGUUGCUAAUACCGCAUAAUGCAGCGGCACCUAAUGGUGACAGUUGUUAAAGCGGGGGAGUCGAAAGACCUCGCGUCUGAAGAGGAGCCUGCGGCGGAUUAGCUAGUUGGAAGGUAAUGGCUUACCAAGGCGACGAUCCGUAGCCGGCCUGAGAGGGCGGGUCGGCCACACUGACACUGACAUACGGGUCAGACUCCUACGGGAGGCAGCAGUCGGAAUUUUGGGCAAUGGGCGAAAGCCUGACCCAGCAACGCCG